GAGGCUUUAGCUUAAGUAUAAAGUGUCUGAGUUGCAUUCAGGUGAUGUAAGGUGUAGCUUACAAGUCUUC
This 70-nucleotide transfer RNA is filed under the name Ptenopus garrulus (Whistling gecko). RNAcentral's name for it is "tRNA-Ala". It matches the Rfam family "tRNA". From Rfam's summary of the family: Transfer RNA (tRNA) molecules are approximately 80 nucleotides in length. Their secondary structure includes four short double-helical elements and three loops (D, anti-codon, and T loops). The record is from RNAcentral. Lineage: Eukaryota; Metazoa; Chordata; Lepidosauria; Squamata; Gekkonidae.